CGUCGGGCUCUCCCAGGCGGAGGGCCAGCGGGCCGGAGCGGCGCAAACAUAAACACGAGAUUGCUGCGGUAAUUGGUGGCUCUGCAAACACUGAGGAAAUGAGAGGCUUGUACGAAACAUCAGCCGACAAGAAACGGGGUGAUGUCAGACAGCCUUCCAGGAUUAGAAACCCUUAAAAGCUCCGAGCCCGCGGCCGCUGCGGAAAGCUGCUUGGCUCUCCGGACAGAUGUGAUGGUACGAAGAUGCUGGAGUCUAGGAUUCUUAGAAUGGCUGAGUUGGAGAGGCUGAUCCAUCAUUUUAUCCAACCUGCUUGGUCCCCAACUGGCCAGGUGGAGGCUCAGAGAGGGCUAACCAUGCCACAACCCUAUGAAGGAGGUAUCUGUAGCCUGUUACAUGGUGGCCACCAAAAAGAUAUAUCCACAUCCUAACUUCCAGAACCUGUCGAUUUGGCCUUAUUUACAUCUUUGUGGAUGUAAUUAAGGAUCUUGAGAUGAGAUUAUCCUGGAUUAUCUGGUGGCUCUAAAUCCAAUGACGAAUGUCCUUAUGAGAGACACACAGAGGAGUGACACACAGGGGAGGAGGUGGCCAUGUGAAGACAGAGGCAGAGACUGGAGUUGUGCAACUCCCAGCCAAGGAACACAUGGAGCCAGUAGAAGUUGGAAGAGGCAAGGAAGGAUUCUUCCUUAUGUGUACACUUCAGAGGGAGUGUGGUCCUCCUGCUAAUGCUUUGUUGUAGGACUUUGGGCCUCCAGAACUGUGAGAUUAAAUAUCUGUUGUUUUAAGCCA
Molecule: long non-coding RNA, 786 nt
Organism: Microcebus murinus (gray mouse lemur)
Lineage: Eukaryota; Metazoa; Chordata; Mammalia; Primates; Cheirogaleidae
Source: RefSeq, a predicted model, not a curated record